Molecule: ribosomal RNA, 500 nt
Filed under: Podarcis vaucheri
Lineage: Eukaryota; Metazoa; Chordata; Lepidosauria; Squamata; Lacertidae
Description: partial 16S ribosomal RNA
Rfam family: Bacterial large subunit ribosomal RNA
Source: RNAcentral
UCCCGCCUGCCCAGUGACUCUUUAAACGGCCGCGGUAUCCUAACCGUGCAAAGGUAGCAUAAUCACUUGUCCCCUAAAUAGGGACUAGAAUGAACGGCUAAAUGAGGACAAAACUGUCUCUUACGGACCAACCAAUGAAAUUGAUCUUCCAGUACAAAAGCUGGAAUAAACCCAUAAGACGAGAAGACCCUGUGGAGCUUUAAAACCAAAACCACCAAACAUGUUUCUUGGUUUUUUAGUUGGGGCGACUUUGGAGAAAAAAUAAUCCUCCAAACUAUAAACCCAUUUAUUAAGAAUAACACAUCAAAAAUAAUUAAAUAGACCCAGCAACAUUAUGUUGUCUGACCAAUGAACCAAGUUACCCCAGGGAUAACAGCGCCAUCCUCUUCUAGAGUCCCUAUCGACAAGGGGGUUUACGACCUCGAUGUUGGAUCAGGACACCCCUAUAGUGCAGCCGCUUUAAAAGGUUCGUUUGUUCAACGAUUAAAGUCCUACGUGAU